Camelus ferus (Wild Bactrian camel) is the source of this 139-nucleotide non-coding RNA. Lineage: Eukaryota; Metazoa; Chordata; Mammalia; Artiodactyla; Camelidae. The record is from Rfam.
AGUAUAGACCAUACCACCCUGAGCGCACUCAGUCACAUCUCAUCUUGGAAGCUAAGCAGGGUCGGGCCUGGUUAGUACUUGGAUGGGAAUCAGCCUUUCAGAAAGCUUCCACCUUUUUGAAAACUUUGUGAUGUUUCUA